CACAAUGCAUUGGAUACAAUUUUAUCUGAUGUCAAAGGAGGGCUGAACUUGCUGUCUAUUGUGAAGUAGGCGUGUUUAGAUUGUUCUCUAUUUUGAUACAAAUUAGAGACUUUGGGGCUAAAGAUAUGCAAGACCCACUUUUUCCCUGGGGGAAUACUUUGGAGUGCCAGUGCCUGCACACACACAAGCAUUCACCACCUGCUUCUGGCCUCCUUCCAUGUACCACAUCUACACACAACACUGUAACAUCCUUAACACUCUCUUGAGAAAUGCACAACUCUCUCCAACAGACUGCAAAAGCAGAAGGCAACAGAACUCCUAGGAGCUUCAGUCAUGGGCCAGGCCCCCAUCAUGCUGGGCAUUAUACAAACAGAACACAGAGAUAGUGUCUGCCUCAAAUAGUUUACAAUGAUGUGCUGAGAAUUUGACCCUUUUUUCCCCUUUGGCUGGAUCUUAAAUGGAGAAAAUGUGAGUUUGUUUUUAUAUUAAACAAAAAAAGUACAACUAGAUUGACAACUUGCAUGUCAGGGUUUUUUCCUGAUGCAGUUUGAGACAGCUGAGAUGUUAUCUCAACCAUCCCUCUUGCAAUGAGAUUUAUAAUGGAAAUGCUGACAAGACACCUAUGUUUGGAGACGGCACCAUGCACUGCUUUAAAAACUUGUUAUGAAUGUUAAUUGGUCAUCUGAAGAGUUUUCUUUUUCCAGGUGUAGGCCAAGCCUUAGGACCAGGCUCGGUAAUACAAUGUAACGAAUGCGUGAAAACAUAAGAUGCUUAUGUGAGUAUUAGAAUGGCUGGCAUUUCUGCAAACAGUGUUGCAGUUUUAUUUUCAAAGUUUAAUCAAUAAUAAGCUCUUUGAUAUUGCUAUGUACUUGGAGAACAGCAUUUCCUUAGGAUGACAGCUAAGCAACUUUCCCACGGUAUGUCUAAGUUUGGGUUUUAAUUGGUCUGCUUGGGGGAUAGUCAUGAACUUCAGUUCUACACAAAAUAAACAGAAGACAAGCCACAAAAUGGCCAUGUAGUUAGGGUGGUAAUUGUUCACCUAUCCUGCUGGUAGCCCACCAUAUUCUGGCUUUUGCAAAUUGGAGCAUUGGUGAAAUUCACAGCCGUGUCCCUUAAUUCCCAUUUACUGGAAGCCCUAAUAGCUCAUGUCAGAGAGGGCUUUGAGGGCUUAAUUGGUGCAUGGGCCUUAUGCUUGCUCUCUGCGUAGGGGUGACUCUCACUCUGAGUGAUAGCAGGCAAGGACAGCAGGCAACCUAUAGGUCGGGCACCAUGCUGUGGUACAGCCCCUCAGCCUAUGGGCUACCUCAAAGCCUGAAAGAGUUACUGCUGCAAGGUACCUUCCUCGUGGGCUGUCACACCAGGACCACUGGGUCUACCUAAUCACUGAUUCCUUGCCUCUGCCUUCAGAUCUUCCCUAUGUCCCAGGCUUUUUCAGGCCCACCUGGAUCCCCUCUCAGUGGCACCAGGGGGCACAGAGAAUCAUCUGAGCAGCCAGCCCAUGUGGCACUCUUCCUGUGCACCACAGAGCUCACCUCAGAGGCUUUGUGGGCUCUCCGUGCAAUGUGUGGAUGUCACUUUUUCUGGGAACACCUUUUGUUGUUGUUGUUUGUUCAAAACUAUACCAAUUCAGAGAGCUGACCCUCUACAGAGUUAACCUUUCGCAGAUCACUAGCACUGAAGAGCACAUUUCCUGCCGUGCUGAUAAGAAAGUGCUAGAUAACAAAAAACAAAAAUGGCUUUGUUCUCUACAUUGCAAAAGUCUGCACAAAAGCUGGGCUGGCUCCACAAAAUAGAUCUCUAGGAGCCUGCUCAGUGUAGAAGACAAGAUGAUUUAUUAAAUCUGGCACUGUAAGGGCACACAAUAUCAGCUUGGAGACAACCUUCGGCAGGGAACUCUCACAGACAAAGCACAGUAACUGGUAGAUGCUUGGAAGACAAGAAAGAAGAGGCAUUUCAGGUAACUUGACUUGAAUGUAAUGAAUUGCCAUUAACAUUCAUCCACUCCCACUGAUGUCGGUGGAAGUUCUGUGCAUGGCACCCUUGCAGGAUAUGGCUCUAAAGGCAUAGGGUCUGGUUCUGCUCUCAGUUUCCAAAGUAGCUUCACUGAAGGCAAUGGAAUUACAUCAAUAUACAAUCAGUGUGAAAUCAAGGGCUCCCAUUGGCUUGUGCUUAACUCUCUUUAAUGCUAAUAAGAGUAAAGAGAAGAGUGGAUGAGACUACAAAGUUUUAGUUACUGUAGUUGCUUUAACUUUCAUCAAGAAUAUAUUGUUGGAAUUCCCAGUUGCUGUACUUCUAAGACAUCGCUUUAGGUUUCCACACAGCUAGGGGACAGACGUCAGAUUCAAAAUAAUCUACUCAGGACAGCAAAGGAAAAUUUCAGUUUAGUUCAAAGAAACUAGGUUCCCUUACUAAAAACGAGUAAAUCACUGAUUCCCUGGGAUACCUUUGCUCCUGCUGAAUCAUACCUGACACAUUGAUUAGUGCCAAUAGGGCCACCUAGUGGAAUAAGGUACUACUCAAAUGUGAGCAGGGAUAUCACAGUCUGACCCCCAGGUUUUGCUCCUUAAUCAAAACUCCAUUUAAUAAGACCCAUCGUUUGUAGCAAAAGUCAUUCUCUGCUGCAUUAAAAUGCAUUGGAAAAGCUGGAACCUAAGUUUUAAAGGUUAAUUGGAUCCCACAAAGAAUUAACUGAGCUGUUUUCUCUCCUUUUUAAAGAGCCUUUAUAAUUAUUGUAAUCUCUACUUUAUUUCCUCACAGGGCAACCAACAUACAGGAUAUUUUUUUGACAUUUUAAUGUAGUUGUUUUUUAACAAAAUGGUUAACAAAUAAUGUACAGAUUUUGAUUUAUCUAUAAUGUACAUACUGUAGUCUCAUUGCAUGAUGAUUUAUGCACCAGAUCUUCAUAUACAUGCAUAUGAGCUUGACUAUUAAUCUUUGCUUAUGUUUAACUAUGUGCUAACAUUAUUCACUACUCCAGUAUUAAAGG
Molecule: non-coding RNA, 2986 nt
Organism: Chelonoidis abingdonii (Abingdon island giant tortoise)
Lineage: Eukaryota; Metazoa; Chordata; Testudines; Testudinidae
Source: RefSeq, a predicted model, not a curated record